GAAUUUAGCAGAGAUGCUUUAGUGCCUUCGGGAACUCUGAGACAGGUGCUGCAUGGCUGUCGUCAGCUCGUGUUGUGAAAUGUUGGGUUAAGUCCCGCAACGAGCGCAACCCCUAUCCUUUGUUGCCAGCGAUUCGGUCGGGAACUCAAAGGAGACUGCCGGUGAUAAACCGGAGGAAGGUGGGGAUGCGUCAAGUCAUCAUGGCCCUUACGAGUAGGGCUACACACGUGCUACAAUGGCGCAUACAAAGAGAAGCGACCUCGCGAGAGCAAGCGGACCUCAUAAAGUGCGUCGUAGUCCGGAUUGGAGUCUGCAACUCGACUCCAUGAAGUCGGAAUCGCUAGUAAUCGUAGAUCAGAAUGCUACGGUGAAUACGUUCCCGGGCCUUGUACACACCGCCCGUCACACCAUGGGAGUGGGUUGCAAAAGAAGUAGAUAGCUUAACCUUCGGGAGGGCGUUUACCACUUUGUGAUUCAUGACUGGGGUGAAGUCGUAACAAGGUAGGCGUAGCGAG
Molecule: ribosomal RNA, 515 nt
Filed under: uncultured bacterium
Lineage: Bacteria
Description: bacterial SSU rRNA
Rfam family: Bacterial small subunit ribosomal RNA
Source: RNAcentral